RNAcentral lists this unclassified non-coding RNA (194 nucleotides) under uncultured fungus. RNAcentral's name for it is "partial contains 18S rRNA, ITS1, 5.8S rRNA, ITS2 and 28S rRNA". The record is from RNAcentral. Lineage: Eukaryota; Fungi.
AAGGAUCAUUACCGAGUGCGGGCUGCCUCCGGGCGCCCAACCUCCCACCCGUGACUACCUAACACUGUUGCUUCGGCGGGGAGCCCCCUAGGGGCGAGCCGCCGGGGACCACUGAACUUCAUGCCUGAGAGUGAUGCAGUCUGAGCCUGAAUACAAAUCAGUCAAAACUUUCAACAAUGGAUCUCUUGGUUCCG